This is a long non-coding RNA of Juglans microcarpa x Juglans regia, 361 nucleotides long. RefSeq lists it as uncharacterized. The record is from RefSeq and is a predicted model, not a curated record. The transcript has 2 exons. Lineage: Eukaryota; Viridiplantae; Streptophyta; Magnoliopsida; Fagales; Juglandaceae.
CUUGAAAGCAAAAGGUUUACAUCAAGGAAAAAAAUAUCAUUAUAAUAUAAUAUCAAAUAAGAUUUUUUGCUAAUUAGUCACAUGACAACCCACUAUUUAUGGUUGAUACAUUCUAUGUUUCAUAACAUACCACCAAGGUAAUUAAUUAGAUUGACUAAUAAAAAUUUUAAGUUUGAUGUUUUUAAGAAAAUGAAAGGAAAAAAACAGUAGAAAUUCUCACUCUUGACUGAUCCUAAUUAUGAGGAUUGACUAGAAGAAGAUCAAACAUACCUUCAAAGUUGUUAUAGGCAAGGAAUAACUGUGUAAGCAUAGUUAAGUUCCCAAUCUGAGGGGGUAAUCUUCCAGACAAAUUAUUAACCGA